This is a long non-coding RNA of Rhinopithecus bieti (black snub-nosed monkey), 3587 nucleotides long. NCBI's taxonomy places the organism in Eukaryota, Metazoa, Chordata, Mammalia, Primates, Cercopithecidae. The record is from Ensembl.
GCUGGGAUUACAGUCGUGAGCCACCGCACCCGACCCUAAUCGGCUUUUGCCAUCCAGUGUCGGGCCCAGCCUUCUCCCGCAAGUAUGCAAAACAAGUUGGUAAAAAUCAGAGAAGCUGGAUGGGUAAGCCUGAACUGUGAAGUUAGAUUUGUCGGUAAAAUGAUGGGGCUCUUCAGUAACUUCAGGAAAUGCCUUAGAUAUAGCAUGGAGUUCAGCUUUAGUUCCAGAGACAUAAGAAAUUUGAGGACCUCAGUGUCGUCAGACAGCCUGGUUUUAAGGGGAUAAGUUUUUAUAGGUUGAGGUUAUGAAGCAGAAGGGGAAGGGCUGUUAGUGGGGAAAGACAUCAGAAAAGAAAGAAAGAGAAGGGUUAAGAACCAGUAUAUGGGACCUGAGAGAGAAAGAUUUGGGCUUCAAAUGCUUUUUUUUUUUUUCUGAGACAGUCUCGCCUGUCGCCCAGGCUGGAGUGCAGUGGCAUGAUGUCAGCUCACUGCAACUUCUGCCCCCGGGUUCAAGCGAUUCUCCUGCCUCAGCCUCCCAAGUAGCUGGGACUACAGGCGCGUGCCACGAUGUCUGGUUAAUUUUUUUUUUUUUUUUUAAGUAGAGACAGAGUCUCGCCAUAUUGGCCAGGCUGGUCUCGAACUCCUGGCCUCAAGUGAUCUGCCCACCCUGGCCUCCCGAAAUGCUAAGAUUCCAGGUAUGAGUCACUGCGCCUGACCCACCUGUCUAAUUUUUAAAUUUUUUUUAGAGGCUGGGUCUCACUAUGUUUUUCAGGCUGGUCUUUGACUCCUGGGCUCAAGCAGUCCUCCCACCUUGGCCUCACAGAAUGCUGGGAUUACAGGUGCGAGCCCCUGUGCCUGGACACAACCUAUUAAUAGUAGUAGUAAUAAUAAUAACAUGUCCCCCUGUCCUUCUCUGGCCUUACUGAGUAGUCCCAGGCUUUCCCCACAUGCCUCUCAGGACUCAGUUUCCCCAUCUCGAUGCUCUUUCAGUCCCCUCUCUUGCCGGGUGUCCUAGUGGCCAGGGUGGUGGGUGGGGCCGCUAUCUUCCUGGCCUGUUUGCUCUCCCUCUUCCGGGGCUGCUACCCUGGCCAAGGCCCUUGAAUAAAAGGCAAGGGCACCUAUGUCCUGCUUCCUUCUCUCCAGCCUGGAUCAUGCUCUGGCUCCUCUCUGCCCUGGUGCUCCUGGGAGCGCUGGCCACCCCAGCAGGAAGCUCCAAGACAUGUCCAGCCUGCUCUUUGCUGCGAAACUGCACUAAAAUAACUUGUCCUUCUGCCCAGGACUCCUGCUUGUUUAGCCAGAUGCAGCUGGAAAAUGGGACUCUCAUUGAGAAGGGGUCAUGUGUGGCCCCUGGAGAAUGCCAAGAAGGUGUCUACGCCCUGACCUACGGCCCCCAUGCAAGUCUCUGGGUCAGCACAGCCUGUUGCGAAAACAACUGCAGUAGCCUUCCCCAGCAAGAGGCAGGGCCCAAGGCCAAGCUCAACACUGUGAAAUGUCACUACUGUUCCGGGAAUAUGUCAGCUUCAUGUGACUCCCUUUUGGUCAUGAACUGCACUGGGAAACAGACUGCAUGUGUCACCCUCAACGGGACCUGGAGUAGAGGGGGUCCCCAAAUUCUGAAGGGCUGUGCUACACCAGAGGUCUGCAACUUAUAUGAGAAUGCCACCCUGGGUCCAGAAGACUCUGGAUUUCAUCUCACCGCUAAGCCUGAAUGCAACUACCUUACUCCUCCUACACAGCCAGGUCCUCAUGCAACUGUGACACACGCCAAAGCUGAGACCACCAUCUGCUUCACCUGCUCAGACCUCCACAGCUGUGGCCCACUUCCGUGCCCAGAGGAUAAUAACUACUGCCUUCAGAUCGCAGGCAUCACAGACUUUGGAGAAGGUAACCCUGUCUCCUGGAGAAACGGUUUCUGUGUGACCUCCAAGGACUGCAAAUUUGGCAACUCCAUCUAUGCCCUGACCUAUGGCGUUGGCUUUGGCUUCUGGGUCAACACCACCUGUUGCCAAGGCAACUGCCAGGAGCCCACCCCUCUCGCAAUUCAUCUGGCCUCACACACCCUGAGUGAGAUCUUGUGUCCUACAUGUCCUGGGAGCUCCUUGGAGCCCUGCAAUUCCUCCUUCUACAUGCAGUGUCCCAGUGGGGAAACUGAGUGUGUCCAGCUGGACCUGACGUCUGAAGAAGGCGGCCGGAACGUGAGCGUACGCGGCUGCGGCUCCAGAGACCUGUGCAGCGCCCUGUACUGGACCCACGGGCUCCCGGUGCUACCGAGACAUCGGCUGUCCAGCCACUGCAGCCCCGGCCGCCGCGCGGUCCUAGAGUCCCACUGCCGCUCGGGCGCCGCGCCCGGCCUCCGCCUCACCCUGCCGGUUCUGGCGGCAGUCCUGGCGACCGCGACGCUGUCCUAAGGAAUCCCGCCUGGACCACCCUGCCGUCCAGGAGGCCCCCUCCUCCUGCUUGUCGGGCACGUCGCUAGAUGGUGCCCUGGCUCCCCUCUGCUGGGGCAAUGAGCAGACCUGGAAGCUUCUGGUGAGAAACUCAGGAAGUAGGGGUGAUCUGCCUCCCUCAGACUAGUGCUUCCCAAAGCCAGACCUUCUGCUCCAGACUCAGGGCUUACUCACGGCUAAGUCCUCUUUCCUCCCACCAGGGCCCCAAAGGCCAUGCCUCCAUCAGCCUAGGGUGUGUCUUCCCCCCUCAGACUAAGGCCACUCACCCCCUGCUGAGAUCAGACCUUUGCUCAGCUCAGGCGAGGGGGGGGGGGCGCUGUACCUCCCCACUCUGAUUGGCACUUUCCCCAAGGCCAAACCUCCUCACUCAGAAGAGGGCUGUUCUUCUUCCUCAGGUUAGAGACACCCCCAUAGCUACACAUUCUUUCCUUUAGAUCAGAGGCCCUCAAAGACUAAGCCUCCUUCUUCAAACGAGGGGGUCCCCAACAUCCGGCUGCUCCUGGACACCAGGGAUGUGUCUCUUCUCCCACACAUUGACAAGCAACUUCUCCUCUUUCGUUCUCCCUCUUUGGGGUCUAGCAAAAUCCUGGGCAGCCAAGGUGGGGCUUGAGGAUCCAAUACACCCGCUUCCAAGGUUUUCAGGGCAGCCUCCUCCACCCCUACCGUGGUCCAAGACCGGGCAGGGGGCUUGGGUGGGGUGAAGAGCCCCUCUUCUGUGUGGGCUCAAUCUCCCAGCUGUAACCAGAUCUGAAUGAAUCACAUCUCACAAUGCCAAGUGGUCUGAGUUUCCUUUUUCUGACGUUUUAACCUCAAAGAGGGACCUGAUGUGGUCCUCUCUUCUCUGGGGCUAGAGGAGGUUAAGCCUCUUCAACUGGGGAACCUGGUGGGGACAUACUGACAACAGUGUCUGGGAGCCAGGGUGGGCAUAAGACCAAAUGCUGCAUCUAGAACUGAACUCAGAGGACUGAGCGGAGAGGUGACACUGGGGAGCUCACCAUAGGCAGAAAGCCAGGAACCGUUUGCUUUCUGCUGAAAGUGGCUGGGCGUGGUGGCUCACGCCUGUAAUCCCAGUGACCGGGGGCUGACAGUGGGAGAGAGGGCUACCUAAGAAACCACUCCAGGCCAUGCACCAGACAGAUUA